This 3204-nucleotide long non-coding RNA is filed under the name Macaca mulatta (Rhesus monkey). Its description in RNAcentral is "lncRNA (ENSMMUG00000049784.1)". The record is from RNAcentral. Lineage: Eukaryota; Metazoa; Chordata; Mammalia; Primates; Cercopithecidae.
UUUUUUUUUGUUUUUUUUAAUUAGCCGAGCAUAGUGGUGCACACCUAUAGUCCCAGUUAUUCAGGAGGCUGAGGCGGGAGGACCACCUGAGCUCAGCAGUGUGAGGUAGCAGUGAUGACUACGCCACUGCACUCCAGCCUGGGUGACAGAACAAGACCUUGUCUCUGCUGUUGUUGUUUAAUACAAAAAUAAUUAGAAAGCAAGCAAAGAAACAGAAAAAUGUGAUCAAAUUUAAGGGGGAAAAAGGAGUCAGUAAAACACCAACCCCAUGUUAGAACAGAUGUUAAAUUUAGCAACAAAUAUUUUAAAGCAGCUAUUUUAUACAUUCAAAGAAUUAGGAUUAUUUUCAAAACCUUAAAGGAACACAUGGUCUUUAAUGUGUGAACAGACAGGGGAUCUCAGCAGAAAAAUAGAAACUACAAAAAAAGAACAAAAAGAAAACUCUAAAAAUGAAUAACAUAAUAACCAAAGAGCAAAAUUUACUAGAUGAAAUUAAUAGCAUAUUGAAGAUGGUAGAAAAAAAAAAUCAGCAAACUUGGAAGACAGAUCAAUAGAAACUUAUCUAACCUAGGCCAGGCACAGUGGCUCAUGCUUGUAAUCCCAGCAUUUUGGGAGGCUGAGGGGGGAGGAUCACCUGAGGGUUGAGAGUCCGAGACUAGCCUGGCCAACAUGGUGAAAACCCAUCUCUACUAAAAAUACAAAAAUUAGCCAGGCGUGGUGGUGCAUACCUGUAAUCCCAGCUACUUGGGAGGCUGAGGCAUGAGAAUCCGCUUGAACCUGGGAGGUGGAGGUUGCAGUGAGCCAAGAUGGCACCACUGCACUCCAGCCUGGGCAACACAGUGAGACUCUGUCUCCAAAAAAAAGGAAAGGGAAAGGGGAAGAAAAUUGUCUAAUCUAAAGAAGAGAGAGAAAAAAGACUAAAGAAAACUGAAUAGACCCUGUGGAACAAUAUCAAGUUGUAUAAUGCAUGUAAAUAAAGUUACAGAAAAAAAAAAAAAGGGACAAAUAUCUGAAGAAACCACUGCUUAAAAUCUUUCAAAUGAUAACCAUAGCCAGGCACAGCAGAGUAAAACAGCUUAAACCAGAGAAAGAGAAAAUCUUGAAAGCAGCCAGAGAAGAAAAGACUGGUGUAUUGAGGGAAUAAAGAGAGUAAUUACCACUUACAUCUCAUCACAAAUAAUGGAAGCCAGAAGACAAUGGAACACCAUUAAAGUGCUAAAAGACAAAAAGUAUCAAUCUAGAAUUCUAUAUUCAGUGAAAAAACCUUCAAACUCAAGACUGAAUACAGACAUUUAGAAAUUAAAAAUUUUAAGAAGGAAAAAAAAAGAAGUCCUUGCCAGCAGACCUGCACAAGAAAAGCUGGAGAGUGUUAGGGGCAGAAAACUGAUACCAAAUGGAAACCAAGUUUUCAUAAAUAUUUUUUCCUUUGGAUACUUACAUUUAAAAACUGAGUUUUAAACAAAAAUAAAUUUCAGUUGUUUAAAAUACAGCUUAAAGCAAAAAUACAUGGCAGCAAUUGCACAAAGGGAUGGCGGAUAAAUCAAUCUGAUGCUCUUUAUGGCUAUUAUAUUUGGCAACUGGGGAAUGGGAAGUGGGAAGUGGAAAUUGUCAGUGUGAAGUAGGAGUUGGAACAAUAUUGACUCUAAAUAUCUGAAAAUAGGUAAAUGUGUAUAUCCCUCAAAAUGUAGAACACCUUCCAAAGUUCAUGUGAAGAAGAGCUUAUACACAGUAAUUACGAAAGAUACAAAGAAUCUUUCAUUACAAAAGAGAAACCAAAUUUCACACCAAAAGAACUACAAUUGGCCGGGCGCGGUGACUCACAUCUGUAAUCCCAGCACUUUGGGAGGCUGAGGCGGGAGAAUGGCGUAAACCCGGGAGGCGGAGUUUGCAGUGAGCUGAGAUCUGGUCACUGCACUCCAACCUGGGUGACAGAGCGAGACUCUGUCUCAAAAAAAAAAAAAAUUCAGAUUCAGAAACACAACCAUCAGAAUCUCCAGAGGAUAAGGCCUGAAUCUAUAUUUUGAACAAGGAUCCCAGGCAAUUCUGAAACAUGGCCAACUUUGGGUAUUUAGAGUAAGAAUUUGAAGCCCAAGAAGCCUGCUGAUAUUCAAGCAGCAGCUUCCUUUUACUGGACUAGUUUACUGAAGAGAACUAUAGAUUUCUGCUACGGAAAAGAGAUGUCACUUGGGACUAAAUGUGUACUUAAGUGCUCCUAAGAAACCAGUGUGCAGCAAAGUUCUAACUACUCUUCACCAGACUUUUCAUUAGAGGGGACAAAGGUGCAAUCAGGGCUGGUUAGUUUUAGGUUUCUAAUUCAUUUCAAAACUUGUCUUUCAAUAUACUACCCUUAGCAUAACUUGCCAAAAUAAUUUACUUUUUGUAUUAAUUACCUAACUCUUUGCUAAACAAAAAUAAGGAAAAAGGGUCCCCAGAAAUAUACUAAGAAAUAGCUUCAUAUAUACUAGUUGUGGCAGAGACUCCAGGCAUCAUCUUCCAUGGUAACAGUAGCCCCACACAUGAUGGCUCGACUAGCUUACACCUCCCAGGCUUCCCUGUGGCUGCGUAUGGCCAUGUGGCUAAGUUCGCAGGGAAAGAAUGUGAAAAUAAGUGCCACUUCAGGGCCUUAGGACACUGAGUGAGCAUUUCUACUCUGUCUCUGCACCUUCUACUCUGCACCUUCUACUCUGCACCUUCUGAGCUAGUGCAGAGACAACACACAAGGACUAUGCCCUAGGGUACAGCGGAGGAACAAGACGGAAAAAAAUGUGUGACUCCAAAUGACCAUGUGAGGCAGUCAGUGCCACCAACCUGGGCACUCACCCCAAGAUAAUUCCAUGUUCUCAGAGCCAUCAAAUUGCUGGAACUAUUACAGUGGCUCAACUGUUUACCGUAAUUCCCUACUCUCUACGUGAUAACUGGCACCAAUUCCUUCUCACAACUACAUCAGUUGAGGACAUUCUAAUGUGUUCACCAUACUUGAUGACAAAAUUCUGGACCCUGAAGGGCUCUCAAAGGGUCAUCUACCAAUUCUUCAAGUUUAUAAACAACGAAAGUUAAGUCUACGGAAAUUUGAAAACAUGGUAGGUAGUAAGAAUAGUGGACGCCAGGUCUCUUAACUUCCCAGUUCACUUUUUCCUCAAUAUUACGCUUCAGACUAGAUUCUAAAAUCAUAGAACAGAGAAUUACAUUUAAAAAAAAAAAAAA